CCGUAGCCGCGGUAAUACAGAGGGUGCGAGCGUUAAUCGGAUUUACUGGGCGUAAAGCGUGCGUAGGCGGCUUUUUAAGUCGGAUGUGAAAUCCCUGAGCUUAACUUAGGAAUUGCAUUCGAUACUGGGAAGCUAGAGUAUGGGAGAGGAUGGUAGAAUUCCAGGUGUAGCGGUGAAAUGCGUAGAGAUCUGGAGGAAUACCGAUGGCGAAGGCAGCCAUCUGGCCUAAUACUGACGCUGAGGUACGAAAGCAUGGGGAGCAAACAGGAUUAGAAACCCCCGUAGUCCCUGUCUCUUAUAC
Molecule: ribosomal RNA, 301 nt
Filed under: uncultured bacterium
Lineage: Bacteria
Description: partial 16S ribosomal RNA
Rfam family: Bacterial small subunit ribosomal RNA
Source: RNAcentral